CUAAAAUAAGCCACAAGCUGUAUUAAGGUUUUAAGGGGAAAAGAAUCCAAAAACCAAUAUAUUUCUCCCACUGGCAACCAGAAGGAACUGCAGAAGCUCAUUGGGAUAUGCAAAACUCAUUCGUUAAGUAAUGCUGGAGAGUGACAGAUGCUGACAUAUAUAAUUUGACAGCUGCAAAUACCAG
Molecule: long non-coding RNA, 184 nt
Organism: Passer domesticus (house sparrow)
Lineage: Eukaryota; Metazoa; Chordata; Aves; Passeriformes; Passeridae
Exons: 2
Source: RefSeq, a predicted model, not a curated record